Molecule: long non-coding RNA, 467 nt
Organism: Lagenorhynchus albirostris (white-beaked dolphin)
Lineage: Eukaryota; Metazoa; Chordata; Mammalia; Artiodactyla; Delphinidae
Exons: 4
Source: RefSeq, a predicted model, not a curated record
AUGUGGGAUCUUCCCGGACCGGGGUACAAACCCGUGUCCCUGCAUCAGCAGGCGGACUCUCAACCAUUGCGCCACCAGGGAAGCCCUCUAGCUACAGAGAUUAGCUUCAAAGCCUAUGCUAAAAUCACAAAAUCCCUGAGUUGCCACCUUUAUGAGACUCACAACAUUUAAAAAGUGAUCUUCAUACCCGAAAAGUUUGAGAACCCAAACUUUUUCUGAUAAUUCAGCAUUUCAACUACCAUGUGGAGAUUGUCAAACAUCUCAAAUUUGCCUGUGUGUUGGAUUCCCAUAAGAUGGCCGGAUGCUCUCCCUUUACAGGAACACACGUGGUUGCAGCGACAACAGACAUCAUGUUAGCCCAGCCCCAAAAGCAGCCUUUUAAGUCAAUUUCAGGCACGAGAGAUCCCAGGUCUCUUUCCUCUUGGUUUCAACAAAUUAAAAUGUUAUCCCCUAAUAAACAUCAAUCC